UACGGAAGGCAGCAGUGGGGAAUAUUGGACAAUGGGCGAAAGCCUGAUCCAGCCAUGCCGCAUGAGUGAAGAAGGCCUUCGGGUUGUAAAGCUCUUUUAGUGAGAAAGAUAAUGACGGUACUCACAGAAGAAGUCCUGGCUAACUCCGUGCCAGCAGCCGCGGUAAUACGGAGAGGGCUAGCGUUAUUCGGAAUUAUUGGGCGUAAAGAGCGCGUAGGCUGAUUAGUAAGUUAAAAGUGAAAUCCCAAAGCUUAACUUUGGAAUUGCUUUUUAAAACUGCUAGUCUAGAGAUUGAAAGAGGAUAGAGGAAUUCCUAGUGUAGAGGUGAAAUUCGUAAAUAUUAGGAGGAACACCAGUGGCGAAGGCGUCUAUCUGGUUCAAAUCUGACGCUGAGGCGCGAAGGGCGUGGGGAGCGAAACAGGGAUUAGAUACCCGU
Molecule: ribosomal RNA, 436 nt
Filed under: uncultured bacterium
Lineage: Bacteria
Description: bacterial SSU rRNA
Rfam family: Bacterial small subunit ribosomal RNA
Source: RNAcentral